This 253-nucleotide ribosomal RNA is filed under the name uncultured bacterium. Its description in RNAcentral is "partial 16S ribosomal RNA". It matches the Rfam family "Bacterial small subunit ribosomal RNA", at positions 524 to 776 of the family's 1533-position model. The record is from RNAcentral.
UACGGAGGGUGCAAGCGUUAUCCGGAUUCACUGGGUUUAAAGGGUGCGUAGGUGGGCAGGUAAGUCCGUGGUGAAAUCUCUGAGCUUAACUCAGAAACUGCCAUGGAUACUAUUUGUCUUGAAUAUUGUGGAGGUAAGCGGAAUAUGUCAUGUAGCGGUGAAAUGCUUAGAUAUGACAUAGAACACCAAUUGCGAAGGCAGCUUACUACACAGUUAUUGACGCUGAGGCACGAAAGCGUGGGGAUCAAACAGG